This 406-nucleotide ribosomal RNA is filed under the name uncultured bacterium. RNAcentral describes it as "partial 16S ribosomal RNA". It matches the Rfam family "Bacterial small subunit ribosomal RNA", at positions 30 to 526 of the family's 1533-position model. The record is from RNAcentral.
AUUGAACGCUGGCGGCAGGCCUAACACAUGCAAGUCGAACGAGUGGCGGACGGGUGAGUAAUGUAUGGGGAACUGCCCGAUAGAGGGGGAUAACUACUGGAAACGGUAGCUAAUACCGCAUACUAUCGGAUGUGCCCAUAUGGGAUUAGCUAGUGGGUGGGGUAAAGGCUCACCAAGGCGACGAUCUCUAGCUGGUCUGAGAGGAUGACCAGCAACACUGGGACUGAGACACGGUCCAGACUCCUACGGGAGGCAGCAGUGGGGAAUAUUGCACAAUGGGCGCAAGCCUGAUGCAGCCAUGCCGCGUGUAUGAAGAAGGCCUUCGGGUUGUAAAGUACUUUCAGCGGGGAGGCGUUACCCGCAGAAGAAGCACCGGCUAACUCCGUGCCAGCCGCCGCGGUAAUAC